GCCAGGCACAGUGGCGCAUGUCUGUAAUCCCAGUAGCUUGGGAGGCUGAGGCAGGAAUCGCAAGUUCAAAGCCAGGCUCAGCAAGAGUGAGGCACUAAGAAACUCAGUGAGACCUUGUCUCUA
This 123-nucleotide small RNA is filed under the name Marmota monax (woodchuck). Lineage: Eukaryota; Metazoa; Chordata; Mammalia; Rodentia; Sciuridae. The record is from RNAcentral.